AACCACACAGAGAACAAUUUACACGUAGAAUGCAACAUUG
RNAcentral lists this unclassified non-coding RNA (40 nucleotides) under Leishmania tarentolae. Its description in RNAcentral is "guide RNA". Lineage: Eukaryota; Euglenozoa; Kinetoplastea; Trypanosomatida; Trypanosomatidae. The record is from RNAcentral.